GGGCGGGUCGAGUCUGAUCCGGGAGGAGGUGGGAAGGCUGGGGAUGCAUGAGAUUCUUAAUCUCUAAAUCGUGGGUUCGAGUCCCACCUUGCGCA
This is a non-coding RNA of Podarcis lilfordi (Lilford's wall lizard), 95 nucleotides long. NCBI's taxonomy places the organism in Eukaryota, Metazoa, Chordata, Lepidosauria, Squamata, Lacertidae. The record is from the annotation of a GenBank genome assembly.